This is a long non-coding RNA of Brassica napus (rape), 1869 nucleotides long. RefSeq lists it as uncharacterized. The record is from RefSeq and is a predicted model, not a curated record. The transcript is spliced from 2 exons. NCBI's taxonomy places the organism in Eukaryota, Viridiplantae, Streptophyta, Magnoliopsida, Brassicales, Brassicaceae.
AAACUUUUGAUUGCAUGCUUAUUUAGGGAAAGGAAAAAUAGAACUGUCACCGGGAUCGAGAAAGAAGACCUUCGAGGAAUCAUAUUUUAUGAUAAAGUAAUGGCUACUUUUAUUUGAUGUUUUAAAUAAUGAUUAUAUAGCUGUUAUAAGUCUCGAUUGAUUUAUGGUAUUAAGACAAUGUUUAUCGCUGGAUCCUAAGUGAGUUUUUAAGCAAAAUAACUCAUUUAAUUAAAUCAAAACAAAAUAAAGAUAGGCUUACCAAUCCUUAACUAAGGUUGUUUGGGACAGGUUUUGAAGUGAGGUUUUCCACCACAUGUCAACAGGAAAGGGCACAAGAAUUUUUUUUUUGUUUCUUUCUUUCUUUUGUUUUCUCUUUUUUGUUUCUUCGUCUUCUCCGUCCAAAGUUUUCUCAACUCUCCGGUUAACGCCGUGUUCUUCAUGAGUGACUCCAGGCUUCUUCCUAUUCCUAGCCAAAACCGCCGCCGAGUAAAUCGCCGCCAUUCUUCCCGAAGACGAGGAAGUUAACCGGAGCUAGCUCUUUCAAGACGUUGAAGGAGAUCGAGAUCUCGUGGAUGUUUUGUUGUGGGGUUAUGGUGGAGGUCGCGUAGUGGACGAUGGCUUGGAGCUGGAUCGGUGUCGCUGAGUAAUCAGCCGCUGCUGCCACCGAUCGGCUUUUGGCGCUUGCGGUGGAGCAGAGGAAGAACGCAUCGUCGGCUGAUCGUAUGAAGGAUGUGAAGAGUAGAGCGCUUCCGAUAAGACCGGCGAGUAAAAUAAAGGUGAUGAUCGUAUGAAGGAUGUGAAGAGUAGAGCGCUCUCGAUUCUGUUGAACGUGUAGCUUAUCUACUACUUAGUACCAUCAAUGCUAUUGAUUGAUUGCUCUUUUUUACUUAAUUUUUGUUGCCUAUUUGUAGAAUGUGAGGCAAGCAAGUAGAUCACUGCAGCAAGGGAAAAGCAUGAUUGUUGCGGGCUUUGCUGACUCGGGAUCGAGCCAAGUGUUUUGGCUGCUGAAAGAGAGUGAGGCAAACAAGUACGUCACUAUAGUUUGUUCACGCUGAGGCCUCACUGAUGCCAAACCUUUAUAAAUGUUUAGUACUUUGCCAUGUCUCAUCUUUUUAUGGUUUUGUUUGACUAAUAAGUUGCUUUGUAUGUACUUUGCAACAGUAUAUACAAAUGGGAAUUGAUAAUGAUGCUAAUAAGUCACCCAAAUCGAUAGCUGUUAGCAACUCCAGUCAGGCAAUUGAUUGGUUGGAUGCUGUAUUUCCAGAUUUGACUGAAUAGGGAACUAGAGGUGAUAAUAAAGUGGUACUGAAAGCUCAUCCUUAUGCUUUGCUUGAUGCAUCAUUGGCUUUACAGAAUGAAUAUACUCUCUCCACGACGAUGGUGUUGAUUCAACAGCCUUACACUCCCUUCCCUUCACAAGUUCAGGCCACGGGAAGAGAUGAAGCUCUCAAAACGCCAUCUGUUCACACCGUGCUAAGUAUAUGCCAAGAAGAGUCCGACGUAUCAUCUCUGUUGGACAAAACUACACCGUCACAGAGGGGAGUUCAAGCCGCGAAACCAACGAGACAGAAGACACCCCACAACGAGAUUAAGGUGUGAUAUAUAUGUUUCAUGUAAAUACCCGUGAUAAUCUAGUUUAAAUUCUAUUCCAUGCUCCAUUAUCUACUCAUAUACGUUUUUCAUCUUGUCAUUGUUUGGUUGUCGACAUAGAUGGUCCUUGUUUGCAUUACCUUUUAGUAGUCAACUAGGUAGUUUUGGACUAGCUUUUUGUUUGAUUUGUUGGUUCAAGUUAUAGAGAUCUUAUCUAUUGAUGACUUUUAUGUGUGUAGUACUUCUCAUUUGGAUUGAAGAAAGUUUCAUUUUGUAACA